AACAGGAGCGUCAGUUCACGCUUGACGCGUUCUUCAUGGAGUUGUUGCAGAAUCGGCUACAAGAGGAGCAAGAGAGCCGUGCUGCUAUGGAGCGUCAGUUCACCCUAGACGGGUUUUUCAUGGAGUUGCUGCAGCAACGUCUGCAGGAAGAGGAAUAAAGCGAUUAUGUUUACGAGCGUCCGUUCACCUCUGGCGCGUGUUUAUGGAGUGACUGCAGAAACGGCUGCAGGUCUAAGAAGAAAACCGUGCUGCUAUAGG
Long non-coding RNA from Schistocerca cancellata (South American locust), 258 nucleotides. RefSeq lists it as uncharacterized. The record is from RefSeq and is a predicted model, not a curated record. The transcript has 3 exons. NCBI's taxonomy places the organism in Eukaryota, Metazoa, Arthropoda, Insecta, Orthoptera, Acrididae.